UUCUACUGUAGGCCUCUUCACUGGGUUGA
Molecule: non-coding RNA, 29 nt
Filed under: Rattus norvegicus (Norway rat)
Lineage: Eukaryota; Metazoa; Chordata; Mammalia; Rodentia; Muridae
Source: RNAcentral